Molecule: ribosomal RNA, 392 nt
Filed under: uncultured bacterium
Lineage: Bacteria
Description: bacterial SSU rRNA
Rfam family: Bacterial small subunit ribosomal RNA
Source: RNAcentral
AUUGAACGCUGGCGGCAUGCCUUACACAUGCAAGUCGAACGGCAGCACGGGAGCAAUCCUGGUGGCGAGUGGCGAACGGGUGAGUAACAUAUCGGAACGUGCCCGGUAGUGGGGGAUAACCCGGCGAAAGUCGGACUAAUACCGCAUACGACCUACGGGUGAAAGCGGGGGAUCGCAAGACCUCGCGCUAUUGGAGCGGCCGAUAUCAGAUUAGCUAGUUGGUGGGGUAAAGGCCUACCAAGGCGACGAUCUGUAGCUGGUCUGAGAGGACGACCAGCCACACUGGGACUGAGACACGGCCCAGACUCCUACGGGAGGCAGCAGUGGGGAAUUUUGGACAAUGGGCGCAAGCCUGAUCCAGCCAUGCCGCGUGCGGGAAGAAGGCCUCGGUU